AUUGAACGCUGGCGGAAUGCUUUACACAUGCAAGUCGAACGGCAGCACGGACUUCGGUCUGGUGGCGAGUGGCGAACGGGUGAGUAACAUAUCGGAACGUAUCCAAUAAUGGGGGAUAACUAAUCGAAAGGUUGGCUAAUACCGCAUACGCCCUACGGGGGAAUGCUAGAGACCUUCGGGCCUGGCGUUAAUGGAGCGGCCGAUAUCUGAUUAGCUAGUUGGUGGGGUAAAGGCCCACCAAGGCGACGAUCAGUAGCUGGUCUGAGAGGACGACCCGCCACACUGGACCUGAGACACGGUCCAGACUCCUACGGGAGGCAGCAGUGGGGAAUUUUGGACAAUGGGCGCAAGCCUGAUCCAGCCAUUCCGCGUGAGUGAAGAAGGCCUUCGGGUUGUAAAGCUCUUUCGCAAGGGAAGAGAACUUAGCCUCUAACAUAGGCUGAGGUUGACGGUACCUUGAUAAGAAGCACCGGCUAACUACGUGCCAGCCGCCGCCGUAA
This 500-nucleotide ribosomal RNA is filed under the name uncultured bacterium. RNAcentral's name for it is "partial 16S ribosomal RNA". It matches the Rfam family "Bacterial small subunit ribosomal RNA", at positions 30 to 523 of the family's 1533-position model. The record is from RNAcentral.